AGUAGGAUGUCAUUCGGAUGUUAUAUUUGAAAAAGUGAAGUUCCUUCAGCAGAGGUUCCCUUCAAUAGAGGUUAUUGGUUUCCAGGACCGCAGUACAGUUUGCUCUACUGAUGAUCGAAGUCAACUUAUUCAAUUGAUAAUGGAAGAAUACAUUACUUUUCCUGUUUUGUUGACAAACAAAAACUUUUCUAAGUUGACGGACAAGGCUUGAUUUAUUUUGUCUAUAGAUUUUAAGAAUC
Long non-coding RNA from Hibiscus syriacus, 239 nucleotides. RefSeq lists it as uncharacterized. Lineage: Eukaryota; Viridiplantae; Streptophyta; Magnoliopsida; Malvales; Malvaceae. The transcript is spliced from 3 exons. The record is from RefSeq and is a predicted model, not a curated record.